UACGGAGGAUGCGAGCGUUAUCCGGAUUUAUUGGGUUUAAAGGGUGCUCAGGCGGGCCAUUAAGUCGGCGGUGAAAUUUUGCGGCUCAACUGUAAAAGUGCCUUCGAAACUGGUUUCCUUGAGUGUGGAUGAAGUAGGCGGAAUUUGUGGUGUAGCGGUGAAAUGCAUAGAUAUCACGAGGAACUCCGAUUGCGCAGGCAGCUUACUAAACCAUAACUGACGCUCAGGCACGAAGGCGUGGGGAUCAAACAGGAUUAGAUACCCGGGUAGU
Molecule: ribosomal RNA, 271 nt
Filed under: uncultured prokaryote
Description: partial 16S ribosomal RNA
Rfam family: Bacterial small subunit ribosomal RNA
Source: RNAcentral